UACAGGGGGGGCAAGCGUUGUUCGGAAUUACUGGGCGUAAAGGGCCCGUAGGCGGCCAACUAAGUCACACGUGAAAUCCCCAGGCUUAACCUGGGAACUGCGUGUGAUACUGGAUGGCUUGAAUUCGGGAGAGGGAUGCAGAAUUCCAGGUGUAGCGGUGAAAUGCGUAGAUAUCUGGAGGAAUACCGGUGGCGAAGGCGGCAUCCUGGACCGACAUUGACGCUAAACGGCGAAAGCUAGGGGAGCAAACGGG
This 253-nucleotide ribosomal RNA is filed under the name uncultured bacterium. RNAcentral's name for it is "partial 16S ribosomal RNA". It matches the Rfam family "Bacterial small subunit ribosomal RNA", at positions 524 to 776 of the family's 1533-position model. The record is from RNAcentral.